RNAcentral lists this ribosomal RNA (519 nucleotides) under uncultured Ambispora. RNAcentral's name for it is "SSU rRNA". It matches the Rfam family "Eukaryotic small subunit ribosomal RNA", at positions 569 to 1089 of the family's 1831-position model. The record is from RNAcentral. Lineage: Eukaryota; Fungi; Glomeromycota; Glomeromycetes; Archaeosporales; Ambisporaceae.
AGCAGCCGCGGUAAUUCCAGCUCCAAUAGCGUAUAUUAAAGUUGUUGCAGUUAAAAAGCUCGUAGUUGAAUUUUGGGUCUGGCCGGGCGGUCCGCCCUCUGGGUGAGCACUGUUCCGACGCCGGGCCUAUCCUUCUGGUGAGUCGGCAUGUCCUUUAUUGGGUGUGUCGGGGAACCAGGACCAUUACCUUGAAAAAAUUAGAGUGUUCAAAGCAGGCGUAUGCUCGGAUACAUUAGCAUGGAAUAAUGAAAUAGGACGCGUGGUGCUAUUUUGUUGGUUUCUAGAACCGCCGUAAUGAUUAAUAGGGAUAGUUGGGGGCAUUAGUAUUCAAUUGUCAGAGGUGAAAUUCUUGGAUUUAUUGGAGACUAACUUCUGCGAAAGCAUUUGCCAAGGAUGUUUUCAUUAAUCAAGAACGAAAGUUAGGGGAUCGAAGACGAUCAGAUACCGUCGUAGUCUUAACCAUAAACUAUGCCGACUAGGAAUCGGGCGAUGUUAUUCUCAUGACUCGCCCGGCGCCUU